AUGAUGUAAUCAUAAAGCAUAGGCUUCUCCCCCGCACCACCACCACAAGGGGGGAGCCCCCAUUAAAGAAGCUUCAGAAGAAGUUCACCUCAUUUGUUGUUGAGAUUGAGAAAGAUGAAGAUAAUUAUAAUGACUGCUUGAGGCUUUCCAAAGCCUUCUUGCAGGAGCUUUCUACCUUUGAGAUUCCACUCCUCAAGAGCAAAGCAGUUAUUGAUUCAAACCGAAGAGAGAAGGAGAAUUUUAAUGAGUUGAUGGAUGAGAUAAAUAGUCAGAUUUCACAGGCACAAUCUGAUAUUGAAGAUUUGAAGAAGCAGCUUGAGGCUAGUAAAAUUGAAAGGCAGCACAAGGAAGAGUGUGAGGCGAUCAGAAAAUUGAUUGCUAUGCAGCCACCAAGGUCGGAGACACAGAAAAUUAUACAAGACUUAGAGAAAGAGAUUGCAGCAUUGGAGGCAGAGAACACAGCUGGUUCAAGGUUACUGGAGCUUCGUAAAAAACAGUUUGCUCUUUUGUUGCACGUGGUUGAUGAGUUGCAAAAUAAUAUAGAGGAAGAUCAGAAGAAUUUGAUGGAGGAGAUGAGAAUGGCAACGGAAGAACAGAAAAAUGGGAUGGAGGAUGCCAGUGGUGGCUCAGAAGCCAUGACUGUUGAUUAGUGACCUAUUUUGUCCAUCUUGCAAUUGGAGAGUGUAUUUUUUUUUUUUUUUAUAGAACAUUUUCAGUUUCAAUAUGUUUUCUUUGCCGGUCCAAAACGAGAAGUGUAGUUGCAUAUAAGAGUUUUCCCCUACUGUUGUUACAUAUUAGCAACAUAUUGAAACUGAAAAUGUUCUAUAGCUGUUGUUCCUGCUUAUUCCAUAUCAAGUUGUUGGAAUUAUGAACUUUGCUAAAAAUCUGUAACCACCUCAGCUCACCACAAAAUUCCCAGGUUUUCCUUUGAU
This 932-nucleotide unclassified non-coding RNA is filed under the name Hevea brasiliensis (rubber tree). Lineage: Eukaryota; Viridiplantae; Streptophyta; Magnoliopsida; Malpighiales; Euphorbiaceae. The record is from RNAcentral.